CCCGCAACGAGCGCAACCCUUAUCCUUUGUUGCCAGCGGUCCGGCCGGGAACUCAAAGGAGACUGCCAGUGAUAAACUGGAGGAAGGUGGGGAUGACGUCAAGUCAUCAUGGCCCUUACGACCAGGGCUACACACGUGCUACAAUGGCAUAUACAAAGAGAAGCGACCUCGCGAGAGCAAGCGGACCUCAUAAAGUAUGUCGUAGUCCGGAUUGGAGUCUGCAACUCGACUCCAUGAAGUCGGAAUCGCUAGUAAUCGUAGAUCAGAAUGCUACGGUGAAUACGUUCCCGGGCCUUGUACACACC
This 305-nucleotide ribosomal RNA is filed under the name Pseudomonas aeruginosa. RNAcentral's name for it is "bacterial SSU rRNA". It matches the Rfam family "Bacterial small subunit ribosomal RNA", at positions 1086 to 1391 of the family's 1533-position model. Lineage: Bacteria; Pseudomonadati; Pseudomonadota; Gammaproteobacteria; Pseudomonadales; Pseudomonadaceae. The record is from RNAcentral.